AUAAUAAAAAAAUUAUUUUUCUCCUCUUUCCCCUCAAAUUUUUUUUGGCCAUACAUAUGCAACUUAUUUGUUACAAGUAAAUAAAAUUUUUAUUUAUUUGAAAAUUAAAAACUUAUGUAGAAAAUGUCAAUAAUAACAAUAAUAAUCAUUUUGGCACAUAUAUAAUAAUAAUAAUCGAAUAUAUGGGUGGUUGUGUAAAUAUAUUAUUGUAUAACAGUGGGUGGAGGAGAGAGAGGGGAGAUAUAUAGUUGUGGGGAUAUUUUUUAGAUAAGUGGGUGGAUGGAUGGAUUUUUUAAUUUUAAAUAAAUAAAAUUUUUUUUAUUUUCAUAAAUAAGUUUUAUAAAUGCUGCUGAAAAAAGUAUGAGGGGAGUGAGAGGGGAAAAUUAUUUAUUUUUUUUAUACUAAAUAAUAUAAAUAUUUAUUUUCAACAAUUAUAUUAAGUAAUAAAAUAUUAAUUUUAGAUUAAGUUAAAUCACAAUUAAUCAAUUAGCUAUAAAUGAAAUAAACCUAUAAAAUUGAUUAUAAUUGAAAAAUAUUAUUUUUUAUCAUUAAAGUUACGCCAUGUCAGUAACAACGCAAUUAAAAAUUAAAGUUUACGAUACAUCAACAAAACAUAUAAAAAUAUUAUUUUAGCCAGAUCUGCUAUCACUUCAGCGCUGAAUUAGUCAAAAUUAAUUAAUUUUCCACAAUUAAGACUAAAGUUCCAAAUUAGGCCAUAAGUGUCUACCAUCUAGUAAUUUCUCCAAGUUAAAUGUUAGAUAUAGCUUGUCAUGGAAACUCUCUUGCUUUUUGUCACUACUUCCAUUACCUUGUUUAUUAGCUGCGUACUAUAUGUGUGCCCUUCUUGUUCAUUUCAGGGUCGGGAACGAUUAGGAGACAAUCCAUUAUUUAUUCUCGUAAGCGGUUAAAAGAAAAAACAAUGUUUAGGGGUGUCUGAUAGUCCUCAAAAUUAUAAAUUUGGUUGAGGUGAAAGGAUCUUGGUAAUAAAGGAUUGGACAACAGGAUAUGGAAUCCGUGUUCAUUUUUUAUUUUCAACUUUAUUUAUUUGGCUUGCUUGCAUUAAACUAUGAAUUUAAGAUAUUGGCUUAUGUCCAAUGUGGUUUUCCGUAGUGGAACAUCAAAUAUCAUUUGCAUUUUCAUCUUGAUGGGUGGUGCUCGUAUGAAUAUGGAAAAUAAGGGCAUUAAUGUUGUACCUUGAUAGACGCUGCCCACUUUUUGCUUAUUUACCUGUAUGCUUUUCUAUGUCAUGUUAUACUGUUAUGAUUUAUGGAUCCGAAAGAUUCUGAAAGGAAGCCUG
This 1297-nucleotide unclassified non-coding RNA is filed under the name Hevea brasiliensis (rubber tree). The record is from RNAcentral. Lineage: Eukaryota; Viridiplantae; Streptophyta; Magnoliopsida; Malpighiales; Euphorbiaceae.